CGCCGCCGCCAUGCGCUCUUCGCUAGGUGGCAGCGCCCGCCCGCGCUGAGGGCAGGCCGCGCCGGCCCGCGGCGCCGGCGGCCCCUGCCCUCCCCUCCCCUCCCCUCCCCUCCCCUGGCAGCUCCGGCCCCAGGAAGCGCCGGGGAGGCCCGGCAGCUCCGCGGCGCGGCAGGUCUGUGCCUGCGGCCCAAGCGGGAGAGGCCGGGGCGCCCGAGGACUCCGCUCCCCGGGCCUGAGGGACCGGUCUCCGGCUGCGAGCCCGACGCUAGCGGUUUCGCCUAAUGCUAGUCACACAGCUGGAAUUCUUCAGGAAGCGAGAUAUCUCCUCUGUGGAAGUGGAUAUUGCCAUCCCAUUAUUUCUGAGUAUUUCUGUUAGCAUGCUGUUCCUGUACUUCACCAGUGGCCUUAUCGAAGCAUCUCCAGCGUGCUUUUGAAACAUCGCUAUCAUCUGGUCCGUAAGUCGUGACGUGUCGCUACGUCCUUGAAAUGUAUCCUCAGUGAAGGUUUUAAUGCUUUUUUAAAAGCUUUCAUCUCGGAAGUACUUUUAUUAAGUCAACGAGAAUGCUGCUGUGUUUAAAUAUCUCUUGAACUCGCAGCCAGGGCACCCAUCCUGCUUUCUUUUUAAUACUUCUGAUCUGCACAUUUACACGCAACCGUCCAGGAGUCUUCACUGACUGCGCGUAAAGGGAGCGAGGCUGCAGCGGGUGAUGUUUGAAGCAUGUGUGCAGUUCAAAAUCUGAUCAAGAAAAUAUUCCAGGAUAAACUUAACUUUCUACUUUUCUGUAUGAUCACCCUGACCACCUGCAACACCCUGAGGCCCCGUGCCACCAAUGUGGAUGCUCAGGGACAAAAGCGGAGUCUUGCAGACCUUGUAGCACCAGGAGAUUCCAGGGAUUUGGGAGCAGCCAUCAUAACCAUAGCAGUGUACUGCCAGCUCUUCCAUGACUGCAUGCUGCUAAGUGUGUUGUAGUUAUCUACUGCCAUCAUCAUAUUUAUCUAAGAGUUAUCUUACAGUUGAAUGCUGCUAAACCAUAACUGUGACCACUAUUGUCAUGCUUGCAUUACUGUAUUUAUAUAUUACAGUUGUAUAAACUAUCACACUGCACAUGCUAUUAAACAUCAUUAUAUAGA
This is a long non-coding RNA of Aquila chrysaetos chrysaetos, 1131 nucleotides long. RefSeq lists it as uncharacterized. NCBI's taxonomy places the organism in Eukaryota, Metazoa, Chordata, Aves, Accipitriformes, Accipitridae. The record is from RefSeq and is a predicted model, not a curated record. The transcript has 4 exons.